CCUACGGAGGCAGCAGUGGGGAAUAUUGGACAAUGGGGGAACCCUGAUCCAGCCAUGCGCGUGUGUGAAGAAGGCCUUUUGGUUGUAAAGCACUUUAAGUGGGGUAGGGAGGCUUACCUGGUUAAUACCUGGGAUAAGGUGUGGACUGUUACCCACAGAAUAAGCACCGGCUAACUCUGUGCCAGCAGCCGCGGUAAUACAGAGGGUGCGAGCGUUAAUCGGAUUUCUGGGCGUAAAGCGCGCGUAGGUGGUUAAUUAAGUCAAAUGUGAAAUCCCCGAGCUUAACAUGGGAAUUGCAUUCGAUUACUGGUUACUAGAGUAUGGGAGAGGAUGGUAAAUUCCAGGUGUAGCGGUAAAUGCGUAGAGAUCUGGAGGAAUACCGAUGGCGACAGGCAGCCAUCUGGCC
RNAcentral lists this ribosomal RNA (406 nucleotides) under uncultured Acinetobacter sp. RNAcentral's name for it is "bacterial SSU rRNA". It matches the Rfam family "Bacterial small subunit ribosomal RNA", at positions 338 to 734 of the family's 1533-position model. Lineage: Bacteria; Pseudomonadati; Pseudomonadota; Gammaproteobacteria; Moraxellales; Moraxellaceae. The record is from RNAcentral.